GCCCUCGUAGCUCAAUAGUAGAGCAGCACGUUGGUAUCGUGCCGACAGCGGUUCGAUCCCGCUCGGGGGCUCCA
Molecule: transfer RNA, 74 nt
Rfam family: tRNA
About the family: Transfer RNA (tRNA) molecules are approximately 80 nucleotides in length. Their secondary structure includes four short double-helical elements and three loops (D, anti-codon, and T loops). Further hydrogen bonds mediate the characteristic L-shaped molecular structure. tRNAs have two regions of fundamental functional importance: the anti-codon, which is responsible for specific mRNA codon recognition, and the 3' end, to which the tRNAs corresponding amino acid is attached (by aminoacyl-tRNA synthetases). tRNAs cope with the degeneracy of the genetic code in two manners: having more than one tRNA (with a specific anti-codon) for a particular amino acid; and 'wobble' base-pairing, i.e. permitting non-standard base-pairing at the 3rd anti-codon position.